RNAcentral lists this ribosomal RNA (328 nucleotides) under uncultured eukaryote. Its description in RNAcentral is "partial 18S ribosomal RNA". It matches the Rfam family "Eukaryotic small subunit ribosomal RNA", at positions 1470 to 1796 of the family's 1831-position model. The record is from RNAcentral.
CCCUUAGAUGUUCUGGGCCGCACGCGCGCUACACUAUGCAUUCAACGAGUCUAAAACCUGCUCUGAUAGGGGUGGGUAAUCUUUUGAAUGUGCAUCGUGAUUGGGAUAGAUGAUUGCAAUUUUUCAUCUUCAACGAGGAAUGCCUAGUAAACGCAAGUCAUCAGCUUGCAUUGAUUACGUCCCUGCCCUUUGUACACACCGCCCGUCGCUCCUACCGAUUGAAUGAUCCGAUGAAUAUCAUGGAUUGAGGAUGCAAGCAGGUUCGCCUGUCUUCAUCUUCGAGAAGUGAAGUAAAUCUUAUCAUUUAGAGGAAGGAGAAGUCGUAACA